GUGAAUUUUAGGGUGCUCUCUUUUCAUCAAGAGAGGCCUGACCUCCACUCUCCAACACUGUGCACAUAUGGCGAGUUUUUUGUAGACGGAGCCGGAAGGCAAAGUCUUAUCUAAACUUGCGGCUUUACCUUUAAACACCAAGUUAAAGAAUGUAACAAAUUAUAACAAAAA
Molecule: unclassified non-coding RNA, 171 nt
Filed under: Yunzhangia auriculariae
Lineage: Eukaryota; Fungi; Basidiomycota; Microbotryomycetes; Chrysozymaceae
Description: ITS 1
Source: RNAcentral